Molecule: ribosomal RNA, 253 nt
Filed under: uncultured bacterium
Lineage: Bacteria
Description: partial 16S ribosomal RNA
Rfam family: Bacterial small subunit ribosomal RNA
Source: RNAcentral
UACGUAGGGUGCAAGCGUUAUUCGGAAUUACUGGGCGUAAAGCGUGCGCAGGCGGCUUUGCAAGUCAGAUGUGAAAUCCCCGGGCUUAACCUGGGAACUGCAUUUGAGACUGCAUGGCUGGAGUGCGGCAGAGGGGGAUGGAAUUCCGCGUGUAGCAGUGAAAUGCGUAGAUAUGCGGAGGAACACCGAUGGCGAAGGCAAUCCCCUGGGCCUGCACUGACGCUCAUGCACGAAAGCGUGGGGAGCAAACAGG